GACGAACGCUGGCGGCGUGCUUAACACAUGCAAGUCGAACGAAGAGCGACGGAAGCUUGCUUCUAUCAAUCUUAGUGGCGAACGGGUGAGUAACGCGUAAUCAACCUGCCCUUCAGAGGGGGACAACAGUUGGAAACGACUGCUAAUACCGCAUACGAUCUAAUCUCGGCAUCGAGGAUGGAUGAAAGGUGGCCUCUACAUGUAAGCUAUCACUGAAGGAGGGGAUUGCGUCUGAUUAGCUAGUUGGAGGGGUAACGGCCCACCAAGGCGAUGAUCAGUAGCCGGUCUGAGAGGAUGAACGGCCACAUUGGGACUGAGACACGGCCCAGACUCCUACGGAAGGCAGCAGUGGGGAAUCUUCCGCAAUAGACGAAAGUCUGACGGAGCAACGCCGCGUGAGUGAUGACGGCCUUCGGGUUGUAAAGCUCUGUUAAUCGGGACGAAAGGCCUUCUUGCGAAUAGUGAGAAGGAUUGACGGUACCGGAAUAGAAAGCCACGGCUAACUACGUG
Molecule: ribosomal RNA, 510 nt
Filed under: uncultured bacterium
Lineage: Bacteria
Description: partial 16S ribosomal RNA
Rfam family: Bacterial small subunit ribosomal RNA
Source: RNAcentral